GCCCUCGUAGCUCAGAUGGAUAGAGCGACCGCCUCCUCAGCGGUAGGCCACAGGGUCGACUCCUGUCGAGGGCACCA
Molecule: transfer RNA, 77 nt
Filed under: Ghiorsea sp.
Lineage: Bacteria; Pseudomonadati; Pseudomonadota; Candidatius Mariprofundia; Mariprofundales
Description: tRNA-Arg
Rfam family: tRNA
About the family: Transfer RNA (tRNA) molecules are approximately 80 nucleotides in length. Their secondary structure includes four short double-helical elements and three loops (D, anti-codon, and T loops).
Source: RNAcentral